RNAcentral lists this ribosomal RNA (253 nucleotides) under uncultured bacterium. Its description in RNAcentral is "partial 16S ribosomal RNA". It matches the Rfam family "Bacterial small subunit ribosomal RNA", at positions 524 to 776 of the family's 1533-position model. The record is from RNAcentral.
UACAGAGACUGCAAGCGUUAUUCGGAUUCACUGGGCGUAAAGCGUGCGCAGGCGGUUGUGUAAGACAGAUGUGAAAUCCCCGGGCUCAACCUGGGAACUGCAUUUGUGACUGCACGGCUCGAGUGCGGCAGAGGGGGAUGGAAUUCCGCGUGUAGCAGUGAAAUGCGUAGAUAUGCGGAGGAACACCGAUGGCGAAGGCAAUCCCCUGGGCCUGCACUGACGCUCAUGCACGAAAGCGUGGGGAGCAAACAGG